Molecule: ribosomal RNA, 454 nt
Filed under: uncultured bacterium
Lineage: Bacteria
Description: bacterial SSU rRNA
Rfam family: Bacterial small subunit ribosomal RNA
Source: RNAcentral
UACGGAAGGCAGCAGUGGGGAAUAUUGCACAAUGGGCGCAAGCCUGAUGCAGCCAUGCCGCGUGUAUGAAAAAGGCCUUCGGGUUGUAAAGUACUUUCAGUCGUGAGGAAGGUGUUAAGGUUAAUAACCUUAGCAAUUGACGUUAGCGACAGAAGAAGCACCGGCUAACUCCGUGCCAGCAGCCGCGGUAAUACGGAGGGUGCGAGCGUUAAUCGGAAUUACUGGGCGUAAAGGGCACGCAGGCGGUUAAUUAAGUUGGAUGUGAAAUCCCCGGGCUUAACCUGGGAAUGGCAUUCAAGCUGGUUAGCUAGAGUCUUGUAGAGGGGGGUUAGAAUUCCAUGUGUAGCGGUGAAAUGCGUAGAGAUGUGGAGGAAUACCGGUGGCGAAGGCGGCCCCUGGACAAAGACUGACGCUCAUGUGCGAAAGCGUGGGGAGCAAACAGGGAUUAGAUACC